RNAcentral lists this ribosomal RNA (294 nucleotides) under Clostridioides difficile. Its description in RNAcentral is "partial 16S ribosomal RNA". It matches the Rfam family "Bacterial small subunit ribosomal RNA", at positions 11 to 314 of the family's 1533-position model. The record is from RNAcentral. Lineage: Bacteria; Bacillati; Bacillota; Clostridia; Peptostreptococcales; Peptostreptococcaceae.
GUUUGAUCCUGGCUCAGGAUGAACGCUGGCGGCGUGCCUAACACAUGCAAGUUGAGCGAUUUACUUCGGUAAAGAGCGGCGGACGGGUGAGUAACGCGUGGGUAACCUACCCUGUACACACGGAUAACAUACCGAAAGGGAUGCUAAUACGGGAUAAUAUAUUUGAGAGGCAUCUCUUGAAUAUCAAAGGUGAGCCAGUACAGGAUGGACCCGCGUCUGAUUAGCUAGUUGGUAAGGUAACGGCUUACCAAGGCGACGAUCAGUAGCCGACCUGAGAGGGUGAUCGGCCACAUU